UACGUAGGGUGCGAGCGUUACUCGGAAUUACUGGGCGUAAAGCGUGCGCAGGCGGUUGGUUAAGUCUGAUGUGAAAGCCCCGGGCUCAACCUGGGAAUGGCAUUGGAAACUGGCUGGCUAGAGUGUGGCAGAGGGGGGUGGAAUUCCGCGUGUAGCAGUGAAAUGCGUAGAGAUGCGGAGGAACACCGAUGGCGAAGGCAGCCCCCUGGGCUAGCACUGACGCUCAGGCACGAAAGCGUGGGGAGCAAACAGG
This 253-nucleotide ribosomal RNA is filed under the name uncultured bacterium. Its description in RNAcentral is "partial 16S ribosomal RNA". It matches the Rfam family "Bacterial small subunit ribosomal RNA", at positions 524 to 776 of the family's 1533-position model. The record is from RNAcentral.